AGCUUUUUAGAAAUUGUAGUGAUGAAAAACCUACCUGAAACAAAGGAGGAAUAUUUGACAAAAAAGGGGAAAAGUUAUAUCUGGGGUCCUGCUUGGCCUGUUUCAUUGGAGUUACCUCUCUCCCUGACAUUCAGCUGAAGCAACAGGAUUGGGUGGCCGCCAUAAUUUGACCAGCUGACUUCCAUUCCUGGUUCCAGCUGAUUGAACCAAAUGAGUCCCAGUUCAAGCUGAGCCAAUCAGCUUUGCCUCUUAUGGAUUUUAUCUUCAGAAGACAAAGAUUCAUCUAGGACACAGCAUGAAGGCAGCCAUCUGCAAGCCGGGAGGUGGGCCCUCACCAAGAACUGAAUCUGCCAACACUUAGAUAUUGGACUUCCCAGCCUGCAGAAUGAUUUGCCAUCAGUCUUGAUACAACAUGCAGAAGCUUGUCUGAAAAAGAAACCAAAUGGAGGCAAAGUAGCCAAGAGAUGAGAAAAGAGUACAGACCCUGAUGAUCUCAUUUGAUCCUUGGAUUCUCCCAUGAUGCCUCUUGGACUAUUCAGUUUUUAAAUGCAAUUUUAUCCAUUUUUGAAUGAUCAUUAAGUUGGGUCUCUGUCAUGUGAAGUUAAAGCACCGUAUAUGUCAAUGGAUACAGUGUCAAUAUGUAGAAAUCAACUUUAUUUCUAUAAGCUACCAAGAUGUAAUUGAAACAUAAAAUUUAAAAAAUUAUUUACAAUAGCACCAAGAAUAAAAUCUAAUGAAAAAUUUGUAGGCCCUUUACACAAAACUACAAGAUUAAGCCCAGAGAAAUUAAAGAUCUAAAUAAAUGGAGGAUGCUAUCAAGUUCAAAGAUUGGAAAAAUUCUUACUGUAAAGAUGCCUGUUUUUAAAAAAUUGAUCCAUAAAAUCAAUGCAGCCUCAAUCAAAAUUCCAAACUAUGUAUGUAUUUGUGUAUAAUAUAUAAAAUAUAUACAUGCAUAUUAUAUGCAUAUAUAUUUUUUAAUAUGUGUGAAACUGACUCUAAAAUUUAUAUAGAAUUAUUUUAAGGUCAAGCAUAGCCAGGACAAUGUUGAAGAAAAAGAAAAACCUUAUUGUGUAGCUACAGGAAUUAAGGCAGUGUGGUAUUGGCACAAGGAUAGACAUGUAGACCAAUGGAAAAACAUCUUUUUAGUGAGCAGAGGAGUGGAUGGGAGAUCAAGAAACAAAGGUGGUGAGGGUAGAUCUAUCUUAAAGAAAUUUGGUUCUAAAUGGAAGGAGAGAAAUAGGGAUGAAAUUAGAGGUAAAUGAGAUGUUGGGAGACAUAAUGUCCUAGAGAACCAGAAGUUCUUUCGAAGAACCACUAUUUAGAAGGGCAGGCCCCCUCCUUCCUUCUCUAACCCCCAUUCUUUGACUAAUGCCAAGUAACACAGAAUUGUCGGCAGUUGUAUACAACUUGCAAAUCACACAAGCUUGGAAGCUGCCAGGGUUAUUCAGUUUAGGUUUCAGAGAGAAUUCAGGAGAACAUCAAUAGAGAGCCCAAAGCAAGUGCACUCACUGAGAGCUCAACACCCCUCUCAGCUGCAUGCGGCACUCUCUCCCUGCCUCAGAAGGGCAAGGAUUUUGAGAGAAACCACAGGUCGGCUUACAAGAAAAAAGUCAGAACUUUGGGAUUCUUAACUAACCCCUUUAGGGCAGGAACCGUGUUUUUUUUGACUUUACAUACUCCCAGUUGCAGUGUCAGGACGUGGAAAGCUCUCUGUGUUUGUUGGGAUCAAUCAAUCAAU
Equus caballus (horse) is the source of this 1738-nucleotide long non-coding RNA. NCBI's taxonomy places the organism in Eukaryota, Metazoa, Chordata, Mammalia, Perissodactyla, Equidae. The record is from Ensembl.